This 497-nucleotide ribosomal RNA is filed under the name uncultured bacterium. RNAcentral describes it as "partial 16S ribosomal RNA". It matches the Rfam family "Bacterial small subunit ribosomal RNA", at positions 28 to 507 of the family's 1533-position model. The record is from RNAcentral.
GAUGAACGCUGGCGGCGUGCCUAAUACAUGCAAGUCGAGCGAACAGAUGAGGAGCUUGCUCCUCUGACGUUAGCGGCUGACGGGUGAGUAACACGUGGAUAACCUACCUAUAAGACUGGGAUAACUUCGGGAAACCGGAGCUAAUACCGGAUAAUAUAUUGAACCGCAUGGUUCAAUAGUUAAAGACGGUUUUGCUGUCACUUAUAGAUGGAUCCGCGCCGCAUUAGCUAGUUGGUAAGGUAACGGCUUACCAAGGCGACGAUGCGUAGCCGACCUGAGAGGGUGAUCGGCCACACUGGAACUGAGACACGGUCCAGACUCCUACGGGAGGCAGCAGUAGGGAAUCUUCCGCAAAGGGCGAAAGCCUGACGGAGCAACGCCGCGUGAGUGAUGAAGGUCUUCGGAUCGUAAAACUCUGUUAUUAGGGAAGAACAAAUGUGUAAGUAACUAUGCACGUCUUGACGGUACCUAAUCAGAAAGCCACGGCUAACUACGUG